This is a long non-coding RNA of Salvia hispanica, 1493 nucleotides long. RefSeq lists it as uncharacterized. The record is from RefSeq and is a predicted model, not a curated record. Lineage: Eukaryota; Viridiplantae; Streptophyta; Magnoliopsida; Lamiales; Lamiaceae.
UCUCUGGAAAUGGCAAUUUUCCUCCUUCGCAAAAACCUCGUGUUGGAUUACAGCAUUGCCUGAUUUCCUCACGGAUAUUCUCUACUAUCUCAUCUUCAUUGUUUGGCCAGCUCGGAUGUGGACAUUGCAGCUAAGGAACAUAAGGAAAAAAUAUGUGGCUUAUUUAUCAAUCACAAGGAAAAAACACAACUUUUAAAUGAACCCAGGGUUUCUCUAGCGACUGAAGUAUGUUGUCCUCGACUUGGUUCCCAAACAUCCUGUAGCCUAUAAGAGCAACGGGGAAGUAACACAAUGCAACAACGAAGUAGGCAACAAGCACACCUUUCCACAUGGGCUUCUUUGAGGGCUUCUCUUUUGUUGACGGAAUAGUUGCCUGAAUCUCCAGCACCACAUUGUGACCGGCAUAGGCAAACGCCACCUCCCCCAGGGCGGUGAAGAAGUCAAAAACUUUUCCAGCUCUGCUGGAUGCUGGAUAGCUGUACUCAACUCCCUUUUGGACUCCCUUGUGAAUGGAAGCUGUCCAUGCUAUCGUAGAGUAACUGUUUAUUUGGAAACGAAACUGCAGCUAAAGAUAUCCCAGAGAUUGAGUUGAAGUUUGGCAAAUGGGAGAGAACAAAAUGGGCAGAAGCGAAUAUCAUUAUGAAGUAAGUAGUUUUGAUAUCCUUACAGCUUCCACAUACAGUUUUGUGGAAUUUCUUCAGCGAUUUGCCUCCAGUUACCAUGUAAACUAUAUUGACACCAACUUCAACGACUAACUGCUGAGGUACUACGAUGUAAAGGCCAAGCUUUUCACCAAAUGCGUGCUGGCCAAGUUCAUGGUAUCGAUCAAAACGUUUUCCUGGUACCAUCUCAUGCAUCUCAACCAUUUGCCACAAAGUGUAUAAUGUGAUGAUCCAUGAGAGAAUUAGAAUGGCAACUCCUGGUCCCCUAAAGUCACAAGUUAUGGAAUAAGGAAUAGGUUUUGAUGGGAGAAAUGAAAAUAUAAAGGAGCAAUAUAUUGAUAGGUUCCUGAACUUUCAUUUUUUUAAACUUUCUAUUUUUUUGUAAUGGGAUGCUAAAACUUUCAUUGGUUCAGUUGGAUCCUUGUCUAGUGAUCCAAUUUAACCAAAUGAAAGCUUGGGACUAAAUAUAGCAUAACGCAAAGCUUAAGCUUUACCGAAACAAACAAAUUUGUCCUCAAGUUGAAGGCAUGCUUACCAUCCCAGAGCUGCCAUGGCAUAAGGAAGACUUAGGACACCUGCUCCAACCAUGGCUGUAACAUUGUGGAAAGCUGAGUACCACCAUUUUGCGUUCCGUGAUGAAGUAAUUGGAAGCCAGUCAUCUAUUGCCUUUUGCUCCACUGACCGGUAAUCUUCCUAUAAUUAGCAAUACGAAACAUUCAGACCAUGUAAUGGAACUAGAGUAUAAAGAUGUUCUGUUAAGUAUGGAAAUGUUGAAAUGGUUGGUGUUAGAACUUUCUCCACACAGUUCUCUCUAUAUCAGUUAGUGCCUUA